GACGAACGCUGGCGGCGUGCUUAACACAUGCAAGUCGAACGGAAAGGCCCUGCUUUUGUGGGGUGCUCGAGUGGCGAACGGGUGAGUAACACGUGAGUAACCUGCCCUUGACUUUGGGAUAACCUCAGGAAACUGGGGCUAAUACCGGAUAGGAGCUCCUGCUGCAUGGUGGGGGUUGGAAAGUUUCGGCGGCUGGGGAUGGACUCGCGGCUUAUCAGCUUGUUGGUGGGGUAGUGGCUUACCAAGGCUUUGACGGGUAGCCGGCCUGAGAGGGUGACCGGCCACAUUGGGACUGAGAUACGGCCCAGACUCCUACGGGAGGCAGCAGUGGGGAAUAUUGCACAAUGGGCGGAAGCCUGAUGCAGCAACGCCGCGUGCGGGAUGACGGCCUUCGGGUUGUAAACCGCUUUCGCCUGUGACGAAGCGUGAGUGACGGUAAUGGGUAAAGAAGCACCGGCUAACUACGUG
Molecule: ribosomal RNA, 468 nt
Filed under: uncultured bacterium
Lineage: Bacteria
Description: partial 16S ribosomal RNA
Rfam family: Bacterial small subunit ribosomal RNA
Source: RNAcentral